GUGCCCACUUUAGUAGCAUAGAUACUAAAACUGGAACAAUACAGAGAUUAGCAUGGUCCCUCGUGAGGAGGACACAAAAAUUUGAGAAGCAUUGCAUAUUUUU
RNAcentral lists this small nuclear RNA (103 nucleotides) under Bos grunniens (domestic yak). The record is from RNAcentral. Lineage: Eukaryota; Metazoa; Chordata; Mammalia; Artiodactyla; Bovidae.